GACGAACGCUGGCGGCGUGCUUAACACAUGCAAGUCGAACGGAAAGGCCCUGCUUUUGUGGGGUGCUCGAGUGGCGAACGGGUGAGUAACACGUGAGUAACCUGCCCUUGACUUUGGGAUAACUUCAGGAAACUGGGGCUAAUACCGGAUAGGAGCUCCUGCUGCAUGGUGGGGGUUGGAAAGUUUCGGCGGUUGGGGAUGGACUCGCGGCUUAUCAGCUUGUUGGUGGGGUAGUGGCUUACCAAGGCUUUGACGGGUAGCCGGCCUGAGAGGGGGACCGGCCACAUUGGGACUGAGAGACGGCGCAGACUCCUACGGGAGGCAGCAGGGGGGAAUAUUGCACAAUGGGCGGAAGCCUGAUGCAGCAACGCCGCGUGCGGGAUGACGGCCUUCGGGUUGUAAACCGCUUUCGCCUGUGACGAAGCGUGAGUGACGGUAAUGGGUAAAGAAGCACCGGCUAACUACGUG
Molecule: ribosomal RNA, 468 nt
Filed under: uncultured bacterium
Lineage: Bacteria
Description: partial 16S ribosomal RNA
Rfam family: Bacterial small subunit ribosomal RNA
Source: RNAcentral